GGAGAGUUUUGAUCUCUCAGUUGUAGGUUCAAUUCCUAU
Molecule: transfer RNA, 39 nt
Filed under: Hyla warreni
Lineage: Eukaryota; Metazoa; Chordata; Amphibia; Anura; Hylidae
Description: partial tRNA-Gln
Source: RNAcentral